This 207-nucleotide small nuclear RNA is filed under the name Cervus hanglu yarkandensis (Yarkand deer). Its description in RNAcentral is "U4 spliceosomal RNA (ENSCHYG00000008054.1)". The stretch from base 1 to 80 matches the Rfam family "U4 spliceosomal RNA". The record is from RNAcentral. Lineage: Eukaryota; Metazoa; Chordata; Mammalia; Artiodactyla; Cervidae.
AACUUUGCGCAGUGGCAGUAUCAUAGCCAAUGAGGUUUAUCCGAGGCACGAUUAUUGCUAAUUGAAACUAAACUCUAAGGGAAUCUAACAUAACCACGUUUCUACACAGAAUGGAUUUCUUAAACUGGAACCUUAGACUGUUCUGUUCCUGGGUUGUUGAAGGUUAUUCAGAGUGAUAAUAAUAAUAGUUAAACUACAUUAAGUUGU